UACGAACCGUGCGAACGUUAUUCGGAAUCACUGGGCUUAAAGGGAGCGUAGGCGGGCUAUCAAGUCUGGGGUGAAAUCCCACGGCUCAACCGUGGAACUGCCUCAGAUACUGACGGCCUCGAGGGAGAUAGGGGCAUGCGGAACUGUAGGUGGAGCGGUGAAAUGCGUUGAUAUCUACAGGAACUCCGGUGGCGAAAGCGGCGUGCUGGAUCUCUUCUGACGCUGAGGCUCGAAAGCUAGGGGAGCAAACGGG
This 253-nucleotide ribosomal RNA is filed under the name uncultured bacterium. RNAcentral's name for it is "partial 16S ribosomal RNA". It matches the Rfam family "Bacterial small subunit ribosomal RNA", at positions 524 to 776 of the family's 1533-position model. The record is from RNAcentral.